This 460-nucleotide ribosomal RNA is filed under the name uncultured bacterium. RNAcentral describes it as "partial 16S ribosomal RNA". It matches the Rfam family "Bacterial small subunit ribosomal RNA", at positions 338 to 795 of the family's 1533-position model. The record is from RNAcentral.
CCUACGGGAGGCAGCAGUGAGGAAUAUUGGUCAAUGGACGCAAGUCUGAACCAGCCAUGCAGCGUGCAGGAUGACGGCUCUAUGGGUUGUAAACUUCUUUUGUACGAGGAUAAUAUGUUAUACGUGUAUGUGCUUGUAAGUAUCAUACGAAUAAGGAUCGGCUAACUCCGUGCCAGCAGCCGCGGUAAUACGGAGGAUCCAAGCGUUAUCCGGAUUUAUUGGGUUUAAAGGGUGCGUAGGUGGUUUUAUAAGUUAGUUGUGAAAGUUUGGGGCUCAACCGUGAAAUUACCGUUAAUACUGGAAGACUAGAGUACAGAAGCGGUAGGCGGAAUGCAUGGUGUAGCGGUGAAAUGCGUAGAGAUCACAAAGAACUCCGAUUGCGAAGGCAGCUCACUAAACUACGACUGACACUGAGGCACGAAAGUGUGGGUAGCAAACAGGAUUAGAUACCCGGGUAGUC